RNAcentral lists this ribosomal RNA (699 nucleotides) under uncultured bacterium. RNAcentral's name for it is "bacterial SSU rRNA". It matches the Rfam family "Bacterial small subunit ribosomal RNA", at positions 79 to 774 of the family's 1533-position model. The record is from RNAcentral.
CUUGCUUCUCUUGAGAGCGGCGGACGGGUGAGUAAUGCCUAGGAAUCUGCCUGGUAGUGGGGGAUAACGUCCGGAAACGGACGCUAAUACCGCAUACGUCCUACGGGAGAAAGCAGGGGACCUUCGGGCCUUGCGCUAUCAGAUGAGCCUAGGUCGGAUUAGCUAGUUGGUGGGGUAAUGGCUCACCAAGGCGACGAUCCGUAACUGGUCUGAGAGGAUGAUCAGUCACACUGGAACUGAGACACGGUCCAGACUCCUACGGGAGGCAGCAGUGGGGAAUAUUGGACAAUGGGCGAAAGCCUGAUCCAGCCAUGCCGCGUGUGUGAAGAAGGUCUUCGGAUUGUAAAGCACUUUAAGUUGGGAGGAAGGGCAGUAAAUUAAUACUUUGCUGUUUUGACGUUACCGACAGAAUAAGCACCGGCUAACUCUGUGCCAGCAGCCGCGGUAAUACAGAGGGUGCAAGCGUUAAUCGGAAUUACUGGGCGUAAAGCGCGCGUAGGUGGUUCGUUAAGUUGGAUGUGAAAUCCCCGGGCUCAACCUGGGAACUGCAUUCAAAACUGACGAGCUAGAGUAUGGUAGAGGGUGGUGGAAUUUCCUGUGUAGCGGUGAAAUGCGUAGAUAUAGGAAGGAACACCAGUGGCGAAGGCGACCACCUGGACUGAUACUGACACUGAGGUGCGAAAGCGUGGGGAGCAAACA